Molecule: ribosomal RNA, 465 nt
Filed under: uncultured bacterium
Lineage: Bacteria
Description: partial 16S ribosomal RNA
Rfam family: Bacterial small subunit ribosomal RNA
Source: RNAcentral
GACGAACGCUGGCGGCGUGCUUAACACAUGCAAGUCGAACGGAAAGGCCCUGCUUGCAGGGUACUCGAGUGGCGAACGGGUGAGUAACACGUGGGUGAUCUGCCCUGCACUUCGGGAUAAGCCUGGGAAACUGGGCCUAAUACCGGAUAGGAGCCAUUUUUAGUGUGAUGGUUGGAAAGUUUUUUCGGUGUGGGAUGAGCUCGCGGCCUAUCAGCUUGUUGGUGGGGUAAUGGCCUACCAAGGCGGCGACGGGUGGCCGGCCUGAGGGGGUGGACGGCCACAUUGGGUCUGAGGUACGGCCCAGACUCCUACGGGGGGGAGCAGUGGGGAAUAUUGCACAAUGGGCGCAAGCCUGAUGCAGCGACGCCGCGUGGGGGAUGACGGCCUUCGGGUUGUAAACUCCUUUCGCUAGGGACGAAGCUUUUUGUGACGGUACCUAGAUAAGAAGCACCGGCUAACUACGUG